CCCUUAGAUGUUCUAGGCGGCCCGCGCACUACAUUGGCACUGGCAACAAGAUCCUAGAUCUGAUAUUUCGGGGUAUUCUACCAACUGGUGUCGUGACUGGGAUUAACCCCUGCAAUUAUUGGUUAUGAACGAGGAAUUCCUUGUAAUCACGGUUUAUCAACCCGUGUUGAAUGCGUCCCUGCCCUUUGUACACACCGCCCGUCGCUCCUACCGAUGAAUCGUCCGGUGAAGUUCAUGGAGUCGCGGCUGCUCCAGCUGUUUUCGAAGUGAAAUGGACCUCAUGAUUUAGAGGAAGGAGAAGUCGUAACA
This 309-nucleotide ribosomal RNA is filed under the name uncultured eukaryote. Its description in RNAcentral is "partial 18S ribosomal RNA". It matches the Rfam family "Eukaryotic small subunit ribosomal RNA", at positions 1470 to 1796 of the family's 1831-position model. The record is from RNAcentral.